UACGAGGGGGGCAAGCGUUGUUCGGAAUUAUUGGGCGUAAAGGGCGCGUAGGCGGUGCGGUAAGUCACCUGUGAAACCUCUAGGCUCAACCUAGAGCCUGCAGGCGAAACUGCCGUGCUUGAGGGUGGGAGAGGUGCGUGGAAUUCCAGGUGUAGCGGUGAAAUGCGCAGAUAUCGGGAAGAACACCCGUGGCGAAGGCGGUUCUCUGGGACGGUACUGACGCUGAGACGCGAAAGCGUGGGGAGCGAACAGG
RNAcentral lists this ribosomal RNA (253 nucleotides) under uncultured bacterium. RNAcentral's name for it is "partial 16S ribosomal RNA". It matches the Rfam family "Bacterial small subunit ribosomal RNA", at positions 524 to 776 of the family's 1533-position model. The record is from RNAcentral.